AAGGGCACCACAAGAACGCGUGGAGCAUGUGGCUUAAUUUGACUCAACGCGGGAAAUCUUACCGGGUCCGGACACACUGAGGAUUGACAGAUAUAUUAUUAUAUGUAUUUUAAAUACAUAUAUUAGAAAGAUGCUAGUUCUUUCAUGAUUAUGUGAUAGGNGGUGCAUGGNNGUUCUUANUUCGUGGAGUGAUCCGUCGCUUAAUUGCGUUUCACUAAAGCUUAUUAUAUACAGUGUGUUGACACUUUGCAUUGACCCCUGCUCACUGAGUGGACGCGUGUCUUUGUUAUACUGUCUCAUACUAAUUUAGGCCUUGAAAGCAACGAACGUGACCGCAACCUCUUGUUGCCUUAUUACCAUAUAUAAUAAUUGUGUCUCUGUACACAUUUAUUGUAAUAAAGGCUAUUUUAUUUAUAUUAAACUAGAGGGACCGCUGUGAUCUUUUUUAAACCAGAGGAAGGUUGCGGCAAUAACAGGUCUGUGAUGCCCUUAGAUGUUCCGGGCUGCACACGUGCUACAAUGAUUAUUGCAGUGAGCAUCUCAUUUAUAACAGCUGUCUUGUGCGUGUAUUAAUUAUUUUUAUAAUAAUUAAAUUACAUUGUACACAACUAAGCCUACUUCGAGAGGUCAGUAGGUAACCAAUUAGAAGUAAUGAUUUCUAAUUUAUUAUGCACAACAAUAUGUGGCAUUUAUAUCCGGGUUGUAGCUUUGCCUAUAACUUUUGUGUGUAUAAAUGUAUUUUAUAUCCACAUGUGCAAUUAUUAAUUCAAGGUGGGGACAGACUAUUGUUAAUUGUUAGUCUCGGUCUUAACUAGGAAUGCCUUGUACGGGUUGGUUCAACAAACCACCCGGAAUACGUCCCUGCCCUUUGUACACACCGCCCGUCGCUCUUACCGAUGAACUUCUCUGUGAGUCUAAUGGACUAAUUAUAUAUAUUUUAUUAUAUAUAAUGGAAAAUUAUACGAACAGGGUGGUUUAAAGGAAAGAGAAGUCGAACAAGGC
RNAcentral lists this ribosomal RNA (1002 nucleotides) under Trochamminidae sp. 9634. RNAcentral's name for it is "bacterial SSU rRNA". It matches the Rfam family "Eukaryotic small subunit ribosomal RNA", at positions 1160 to 1800 of the family's 1831-position model. Lineage: Eukaryota; Foraminifera; Textulariida; Trochamminidae. The record is from RNAcentral.